CUCCUUGAAUCGGCAGCACGCAGGCUCAAUAUCUAACAACCAAACACACCAACAAUAUGGGCACUGGGUGAUCCCAUCUGAACGCAGGGCGCCUGAAUGAACAUUAAAAUCAUAUGAACAUAUUAAGUAAUAACUCCAAAUACGUUUAACCCCGGAACAUUCGACUGACCCUAAAUGUUCUGCCUCUAUCUUUUCUUGAUCUUUUGAUGAAACAGUGAUCAAAUGGAACGAAAGGACGGAGGACAGAGGCCAAGCAAGGCAGCGGGGGAGAGAGAGAAUUACACCUUCGAUAUUAGUCAUAAUUCAAGAUGACUGCCUUUGGGGAAUGUGGUGUUUUACGGCAUUUAAUUUAAAUACGAGGUGUCUGAGCAUUUUAAUCAAAGUUUGGCCAAGAACUAUUUAGCUACGUAGUGGACGCGAUAUCUCGUAACGUCCUGUGACUGAAUUGUGAAAUAGUAUGUAAAACUUGUUGGGGAUAACUACUGUUGCAAAUAUUUUCGACAGAAACUUAUUUAAACAACAGUUAUAUUUUUUGAGACUUCACAAAAGGUUUGCUCGAUACAGUAUGGUCACGAUCAAGACACUGGAUUUUUCCCCCCUCAGUGUGUCACACAAAGUUACGUGAAUGAGAAAGUAUGGCUCUCUGUCAAAUUUUGGAUUUUUGCAGAUGACAAAAGGUUCUGUUUGAUCAGCGGCAGCUUUCACAGACCUCGGCUCAGGGAUUAAUACAGACGGAUGGCAGUGAAAAGAUGUAACAUGUAAAACUGUAUAUGUAACACUGGAAAUUAACCCAUUUUCUCCUGACCAAAACCACCUCCAAUCAACUUAUUGUAUUCAAUUUAAGAGUAUUCUUCCAAACUUCAGCUCACCAGCAAAGAGAGUUCGGGUGAGGAAAAACCGACUGGAACAAAAGUAAUCUGGAGAAUUGAGGAUCCUUACAAAAUGAGGAGAGACCCUGAAACACACGCCACCUAUCUUCACGGAGAGGGAUAAUUGAGGAGCACCAAACGUGAGCAUCUUCUGGAAAACUUAUCUACUGUAUGGAUAAUUAAAUCAUCAAUCAAGGGGCUUGCCUAUUUGAUGCCUUUGUUCAAAGCCAAUCGGGUUCCAGGGAACGGGCAAUGUGCUGACGUGCAAUUCAAUGGCCAGUUGUGUCCACGCGCUUCUUUUGCUCCAGCUUUGUUACCCACGGUCAGAAGGACGGAACCAGGACACACAUUCAAUUAAUGUUUGACACCGAUAGAACUCUCUUUCCCCUCGCCACUCCCCCGACCCCUCAACCCCCAACCUCUUCUCCAGCAGUCCUGACCGAAAAGGUAAGUCCUCCAAAACAGGAGCCCUUCCACUUAAGAAAUGUGACUUAUUGGCCCGCCAAAUUAAUAAUUGACGUUUGCUAUGAUGAAUUAUUAAUCAAACAUUUGAAUAAUUGUUGUAUCUCUAAUCUCUACAUUCAUUUGCAUAUUUGCCUUUUAAUUUCAGCUGUUGUAUGUGAAAGCCACUUUCUCUUUGGAUUCAAAGAUAUUAUAAAUAUGUUUUACUCGACUCCUCAAAUCAUACCUUUCUCUUCAAAGGUCAUUCUGUGGAGUGGUCAUUUAAUGUGGCGCAGACUGAAAAUCCCAAUUAACCAAUGAACAUAAUAACUUUGUAUAGGUACACUUGACUGUCAUCAUUGCCAUAUUUAGAUCUUUUGAAAAAUCUUUUUUUUUUCAGUCCUAAGUAUAUUACACUUGCAGUAAUUAUGACUUUUGUUUUUGCACGAUAUAUUAUUUUUUUUUGACAAUUCUCUAUUAUUUUAAAGGCAAUAACAUUAUUCUGUAUUAUGCUAAAUAACCGGGGCCAACUGGUUGUAUAAUGAAUCCUUUAUUCAGGCACCUGAAUAGCAUUAUGACCAGGCUCUGUGCUACGACUAAUCCUGCCUGAAUUCCAUGAAAAGCAAGCGAGAAGCGAGCGGGCUCGACUGCAGGCGAGAGAGUGGAGAACGGUCCGCCUGUUCAUCCCGUCUGUCGGAGCUGUUCUUCACCGACCACCUGACUGUGUCACCGGCAUCAUAGCGCAGGCUGGACUUAAUGACAGGCUAGGUGCAGUUCCCUGAUUUAAUACAAAAUUGAAUGUAACAGAGGUAAAAAAAAAAAAAUGUGAGAAUUUAACAUAUAGUUUUGAUAUUAGGGAUGUUUAUAAAAUUCUCAUUUUUUAAAAUUCCACGAACGUUAGCGCUCUUCCGGUUCUGGAAAGUUCUGAAAGCGUGAGGGACGAGCGCGGCCUCAGAUGUGGGAGGAGACAGACGUCACAUGACACCGGUAGCUCAUGACUCACGGCGACUGCAGCUGACCACCGUGACCAAUUUGACAUGGAAGGGUAAGGAGAAACUCACAAGGUAGGGAGGGUCCCAUUUGCUGCAUUUUUGGGCAAGUAUAGGUCAUCGUAGAGUUUUUGGCUAGGCCCUAAUUUGUUGAAAGUGAGAAGAAGGGGAAAAAAAAGCCAGCCAAUCAGAAUAAUCUCUUUGUUUACUGUUUUUACAAAGCAAAUAUUAAACAAACCCGCAGUGCAUAAAACCUUUUUUUUUCUUAGAAGCGGUGUGUGUGUGUGUCAAUAAAACAAGCUUUGAACAAC
Molecule: long non-coding RNA, 2610 nt
Organism: Anguilla rostrata (American eel)
Lineage: Eukaryota; Metazoa; Chordata; Actinopteri; Anguilliformes; Anguillidae
Exons: 6
Source: RefSeq, a predicted model, not a curated record